This 192-nucleotide ribosomal RNA is filed under the name uncultured bacterium. RNAcentral's name for it is "partial 16S ribosomal RNA". It matches the Rfam family "Bacterial small subunit ribosomal RNA", at positions 1309 to 1500 of the family's 1533-position model. The record is from RNAcentral.
AACUCGACUGCAUGAAGCUGGAAUCGCUAGUAAUCGCGAAUCAGAAUGUCGCGGUGAAUACGUUCCCGGGUCUUGUACACACCGCCCGUCACACCAUGGGAGCCGACAACGCCCGAAGUCAGUGACCUAACCGAGAGGGAGGAGCUGCCGAAGGCGGGGUUGGUAACUGGGGUGAAGUCGUAACAAGGUACC